Molecule: non-coding RNA, 915 nt
Organism: Camellia sinensis
Lineage: Eukaryota; Viridiplantae; Streptophyta; Magnoliopsida; Ericales; Theaceae
Source: RefSeq, a predicted model, not a curated record
CCAUAUUGAACACAACCAACUCUUAGAAAAAACAUCCCUUACUCUUGGAGAUGGAGAUGUAUCUUCCAAUCCUCUUCGUCGCUUCGCUUCUCUUCUCCUACUCUCAUGGUUCAGUGCUAGACUUCUGUGUGGCAGACUUCUCAUUACCCGAUGGACCUGCAGGCUACUCUUGCAAGAAACCUGCUAAAGUGACGGUUAAUGAUUUUGUUUAUUCAGCUUUAGGCAUUGCUGGUGACACUAACAAUCUUAUCAAAGCUAAGGUUACACCAGCAUUUGCAGCUCAAUUUCCGGGUGUGAAUGGGCUUGGCCUUUCCAUGGCACGUCUAGAUCUAGCCGUGGAUGGAGUUGUGCCAAUCCACACGCACCCUGGAGGUUCAGAAAUCCUUUUUGUGGUGGAAGGAACAAUUUGUGCCGGAUUCAUAUCUUCUUCGGCCAACACUGUUUAUUUUAAAACUCUUUACAAAGGGGAUGUUAUGGUUUUCCCACAAGGGUUAUUGCAUUUUCAAUUCAAUUCUGGAAAUAAACCGGCUCUUGCGAUUGUUAGCUUCAGUAGCCCAAGCCCGGGUCUCCAAAUCACCGAUUUUGCGUUGUUUGCCAACAAUUUGCCUUCUGCUUGGUGGAGAAGGUAACUUUCCUUGAUGAUGCUCAGGUCAAGAAGCUCAAGGCUGUUCUUGGUGGCACUGGUUAAAAAAGGCCUUUGAAGCCUUUUUAUUUUUAUUUUUAUUUUUUAUUUUUUAUUAUAAUGGUUUCUUUUUGUAGUACUACUUAAAGAGUUCCUCCAGUCGAGUGUCUUUUGUAUGGGUCUUUAACAUUUCCUUCUGCAGGCAAAUGCAUGUUUUUUUUUCUUUUAAUAAUAUUUAUCUGAAUAAUUGGAGAAAUUCCAUUAGUAUUAUUAGUAUUAUACCUUUCAUAUUA